CGAGACGACGCUGGCGGCGCGCCUAACACAUGCAAGUCGAACGAGCGAGAGAGAGCUUGCUUUCUCGAGCGAGUGGCGAACGGGUGAGUAACGCGUGAGGAACCUGCCUCAAAGAGGGGGGACAACAGUUGGAAACGGCUGCUAAUACCGCAUAAGCGCACGGCAUCGCAUGAUGCAGUGUGAAAACUCCGGUGGUAUAAGAUGGACCCGCGUUGGAUUAGCUAGUUGGUGAGGUAACGGCCCACCAAGGCGACGAUCCAUAGCCGACCUGAGAGGGUGACCGGCCACAUUGGGACUGAGACACGGCCCAAACUCCUACGGGAGGCAGCAGUGGGGAAUAUUGCACAAUGGGCGAAAGCCUGAUGCAGCGACGCCGCGUGAGCGAAGAAGUAUUUCGGUAUGUAAAGCUCUAUCAGCAGGGAAGAUAAUGACGGUACCUGACUAAGAAGCACCGGCUAAAUACGUG
Molecule: ribosomal RNA, 466 nt
Filed under: uncultured bacterium
Lineage: Bacteria
Description: bacterial SSU rRNA
Rfam family: Bacterial small subunit ribosomal RNA
Source: RNAcentral